This is a long non-coding RNA of Hylaeus anthracinus, 3183 nucleotides long. RefSeq lists it as uncharacterized. The transcript is spliced from 3 exons. The record is from RefSeq and is a predicted model, not a curated record. Lineage: Eukaryota; Metazoa; Arthropoda; Insecta; Hymenoptera; Colletidae.
GACAGCUUUACGAGUUCCAUUGAUCGGAAAAUUGAAAUGAAUGUAUAAUACCACGUGUUGGGUUUUUGUGUUCUUGACACAGCCGAAGGAAAACGUCACACGUGCGUUCGGAGGUUAGGAAAAACUUGAAACGCAUGGAGCUGGGGAUGCUCGGCGUGGAAUCGAUCCUCGAUUUCGUUUUUCUCGACUUUCAGGUGGGUUUUCGUUUCUUCUUUUUAGCGAUAAAACCAGAUAUUUUCGAGGGAGCUUCCACGUUUUCUCGUUCGGAUGUUCUCGAAGAACGAUCGAAAAGAGGUGUCGUUUUUUAGGUUAUACAUCGCACGGUCGAUAAAGUCGCAGUUGAGCAGCGAGGUUAGAGUUACCAACAUCUAACAAUAAAUACCCAAAUUAAACUCAAACUCUAGACUCUAGUCAUUUCGAUUUAAACUCGACAUCCAUCGAUCUAUUUCACGAUCAAACGUUCAACCAACGCACAUUUUAAUGUUUUGAGGUUAGGAACACUUUCGGAAACAGGAAAUGAAAAAAUAUGUCGGAUACCCGCUUUCAGAGAAACGUCCAAUUAAUUCCGCCCGAUAAUUGCGAGCGUAUUUUCAGUUUGUCGCGACCGCAGAAUAUUUCGUCGGCUGGCAAAAACUCGGUGUCCCAGCCGUUCGUGAAAACCAUCGGUCUUUUUUUUCGUUGCGUGCGCUCGUCGACGAAAAUCGAAUGCAAUGGGGCUAUCUUUGUCACCGGACGUCCAUCGGCAUCAAAGGCCGCCGCGGAAAUAAUUCAAGUAAAUGAAAAAGGGCUGGGAGACGCGGAGCAUCGAAUUGUCGCGAUAGAGAGCGACGAACAGAGAGACAGAUAGCGGAAUGGCGGUUGAAGCAGUGUUGGCCACCUUAGAUUUUUAGUACUUUUACCGAAGGUAAAAGGGGUGGUGGAAAAGGGACAUAAUUGAAUCAAUAAUAUUUGUUAUUUUCACAGCAUUAGUGUUAGUUUGUGCUUAAUAUUUACAUAAGUCAUACAAUGAUGGGAGCAGAAAAUGUUAUUUGAACCCUUUGGACUGGGAUGUCCCCUCUCAGGGGAGAUUAGAAGUCCAGAGGACUUCGAUAAGGAUUAAACAAGAUAAAUUCUCUGGAGCACAACAUUUUCAAAGCAGCACACUUCUUUGGAGGUUUCCAUUCAAAGUAUCACGAACAAAUAAAUCAAAGUAGCGUUACAAUAAAUUACAUGCCCUUUGUGCUACAUUAUUUAACACAACAUGGUUCCUUUUAGCACAUUCUGCAGCAAAAUGGCUUCCAGUGCAAAGGGUGAAUAGUAGAUAACAAAGUAUUGGUUGCUACAGGUUCAGGGAGAUCUAAGAUUGCCUGGUAUAAUUUUUCGGAUGUUCUUAAUAAAUUAAGAAAUAUCUCUAAUGUAUUACCGAGGUCCCACUUGCUUCCUGAAUUAAUUGCGACUAAAGAAAGACCGACUCGCCAAGUUUUAAUAUUUAGAAUAUUUAGGAUCAUUAUUCUGAACAGUGGCAGCAAAAAUUCCAGAAACUUGUCGAUCGAAAGACUUUGGUCACAAAGUAAUCACACGGUUCGAGCCUCUGGGGCUCCGGUAGGCACCAGAAAAAAGGAGUCCAUGUGACGAACUCGGAUUCAAUAUCCCCGGUAUCAAGAACCCAGGAAAGAACAAAAGGGAAUCGCGCUAAAGUGUAGCCAAGAAAGCGAGGAAGAGACGGGACCAAGGAGUGGCGAGAGCUUCUCUAACCGAAAGCCCGAGGGAAUCCAGAAAAACUGCGUUACCAUGAAAGCCCCGGAGUCAGCAAAGGAGUAGCGUAAAGUAAUCGAGGUUAUCCACCGAUGAAAACGCGACCGUGCGCUAAGAAUCGCGAGGACAAAGGAAAUGCAAAUAGCGAAAAUGUUCAUUAACUCUACCGUUACAAAGCGAACACGAAACUUCGCUAAACCGAAGUCUUUGCCUUUGUCUACGCCCUUUGGAGACCCGUGUAGUUCUUUUGAAGUACACAGCAACCCUGCACGGAAUUACCUGGCCGCCCGCCACGAGAAACAAAUAAACGCCGAGGUGAAUUAAAUACGUCAGGCGAACGGGUCAUUUAUAACCUAAAGAGAAACUAGAAACUGCACCGCUUUACCUCCGCAACGACAUCGAACACAUCCACAGAGCAACCAAUUGCUACCAAUAACGACUGCAAACGUAUCCUCGGAUCUUAGAGAAGCCCUGAGUUAUUAAACAUUUCCUCGUACACAGCCUAGAUUAAUUUUUAGAUCCGCCUUGCGCCCCCAACAACGUCAAACAUCCUUGAAGAAACCAAUCCGUCCCCCUAAAUUCAAGAGGGCUAGGAUCCCAGCCGCAACGGAUCAUAGAAUUAAUUCGAUUCCCCCUCGCCUUCGUUGUACCGUCGAAGCAGAAAGAAAAUGGGGACAAAGGGUCCUUGGGUAAAAAGGACUAGGAGGAUAGGGUUGAGAAGGGCGAGGGUCCCCUCGCGAAGAAACAUCAACCCGUUGGACUCCAGAGGGCGUAGGGACCAGCUUCUCCGCAUGCUAAGCGACGAAUUAGGCAAAUAUUUCCCCGCGUCGCUUGCGGACACGCGUAAAAAAAAAAAAAAAAAAAAAAGAAAAGAAUCCAUUUGCCUUUCGUUGGGGUGGAUCGACGACCCUCGGCGACAAAAGAGCGCGUUUCGGCCCUCGAGCCCCUAGGUCACCCCUUCGAUAGCGAAACCCCUUUCCUCGGCGUUCGUCUUUUUGACACUUAAUUACACGUAGCCGGCGUUACUUAUCCAUCCGUCGUCGACUCGGAUUCACGCUAUAAAUCGCGGUUUUCUUCGCGCGGAGGCUGACUCGGAGGUAGGCGCGAGGUUAGCCGGGUUCUAGGCUAGGAGUAAAUCUCUCCAACGUGACGCGACGCGGAAAUAUUCCUCGAAUAUCAGGAAUUUCACGGCUUCUUAGAAACGCGGCCGUAAUAGAAUCUUUUGAUAAAAAUUCAAUCUCGGCGGUGACGAGAGCCGCGUCGACGCGACGCCAUUUUCUCGCAGGGAUGAGUCGCGUCAUGGCGGACGACGACUUUUUGGCGGGAGAGUUGGUAAUAUGGUUCCCGGGAUAAUACUUCGUAGAUACGUGCGCGAGAGAAGCGGAGAAAAUUUUGAAACUAAAAUUCUAAAAUUUAGCCUGGUAUAAGGAAUGUCAAAAGCGACGAUAC